UAUCAAUCUACACAAGUUGCUCGUCACCCCCCAGUUACUUUGCUGCAGCCGGACUGCGGCAGGCAACCAAGAGCAGUGUGAGCACUGCUUGAUUCACCUUGACUGAGUGCAGAAACCCAAGUGAGUUAAUGCAAGUUCACCAUCUUGGGGCGUGGGGGAAUCAAUCAGCAAACAGCCCACGGCACAGGUGAUGUCGCAGGGUAAGGCCACUCCAAGGCUUCACCCAGGAGAAGCCUUUAGGAGGACAGUCCCAGGACCUGGGUGACGGUAGGGAACACAUUGGCUGGGAAAUUUAAUAUUUUAAAAACUUUAUUAUGGCGAGUUUGAAAACAAAGGGUAACACGGGGGAGAGUAAUAACCUGUACCCUGUGUGCCUACCUCUUGAAUUCAUCAUGAGCAGCGUUUCGCCAUGUCAUUUCACCUACCCCAGUCUUUUGGAAACAAGGUGUUGUUUCCUCCACUUUCCAUGAUUCUCAACUUCCAGGAUGGCAGCAAUUGGCCUGCAAGCCCGAGAGCCGCUGCUCCCUCCCUCAGCUUCUCCCCAGCUGUGCCGACGGGUUGCUGACACUUGACAAUACCCCCUUAGAUGUUCUCCAUGACUCUUUGGCAGAUGUGAGACCACUGCUACAGCCAAGAUACAGACCACCCACAAGUGCCAGCACGUUCCCUCCCGCACCUCUGCCUGUGGUCACUGAUGGGCUUUCCCUAGCUGCAGCGCGUCAUUUCCAAACUGCUCAGUCCCUUGUGUUGUCCCUCUCGUGGACCGCGAUGGCUUUGAGAUUCAGUGCGUCCGUGCACCACGGGUGGGCCAUUCCUGCUUGCUGAUGAAGAUGUCCUGUUGGAUGGACAGACCACAGCCUGGUCAGCACUUCUCGUGGUGUGGCCAGAGGCACUUGGCUCACCACUUUUUUGCUGCGGUGACUGUAGACCCCCGAACACCAACACAAAAUGUUCAUGUGCACGGUCUGUGUUUCCCUCGCAAGUACUCAGGAGUGACAUUGCUCAAUGUUGUGAUAAGCAUUGGCUCAAACUGCCAAACCCUUGGCAGAGUGGUUCUGUGGUGGGUAAGAGAGCCAGGUCUGUGUGCUUGUGUGAGGAUGGCCUUAGGCCUGAGCCUAAGCAACUCCAUUUUAAAAACUCCAGUUGAAACCUGCAGUCUCACUAGGCACUCCCACAGAGCCCUCCAGUGUGGCUUCAGACAAGUUACUUCCCCACACCCUGAUAAACAGAGUAAAGUCCCUGGCAGGCUGUCCUCACCUGAUCAGAGGGAAAGGCAAGAAGAUCAGGGUGGAGACCACCCGACCAAAAGUUUCUGACCCCAGGGUAAAUGAUGUCACUGAGAAAUCCCACAGUAGCUGAUAAGGAUUGAAAGGGGGGCAAAAGCCCCCAAAUUUAGUAUAAAUGAUAGAGCAAAUGAACAGGGAUUCAGCCAGCCAAAACAAGGAUGCACUUGAGCUGGAGAGCCUAAUGAGGAUCUGACAUCCCAUCAUUUGUCAUUGUUCCUGAGCCUCUGCGUGAUCCUCACUGCUCUCAAACUCUACCACCUCAUCUGGACCUUGGUGAGAGCUGCAACUCCUCCCUACAACCCCCUCCUCAAACAGUCAUUCACUCGAUGCCAGGAAAAGCCCCUUGGUUCCAGACCUGGUCACCAGAGUGAGUGUGCAUCUGCUGGACUUAAAGCCUAAGGCUUCAGACUUUUGAACUUAGCACACAGAGGGAAUGUCUGUCAUUAGCCUGUCAUGAUUAAGUGUGUUUUGCAGUGCUUAGAAUUAAUCUAGAAUUGCUUGCUGUGAACUGAUUAUUGCCUAGUAUUAGGAAUUGUCGUUUUCUUGAUUAAGAACCUAUAGAAUGAAAUUGUACUGAGUAAUUUGAGUGAAUAAAGCAUUGAAAGGCGCAGAAGCA
This 1902-nucleotide long non-coding RNA is filed under the name Marmota monax (woodchuck). Lineage: Eukaryota; Metazoa; Chordata; Mammalia; Rodentia; Sciuridae. The record is from RNAcentral.